RNAcentral lists this ribosomal RNA (501 nucleotides) under Alternaria alternata. RNAcentral describes it as "eukaryotic LSU rRNA". The stretch from base 176 to 329 matches the Rfam family "5.8S ribosomal RNA". The record is from RNAcentral. Lineage: Eukaryota; Fungi; Ascomycota; Dothideomycetes; Pleosporales; Pleosporaceae.
GGGAUCAUUACACAAAUAUGAAGGCGGGCUGGAACCUCUCGGGGUUACAGCCUUGCUGAAUUAUUCACCCUUGUCUUUUGCGUACUUCUUGUUUCCUUGGUGGGUUCGCCCACCACUAGGACAAACAUAAACCUUUUGUAAUUGCAAUCAGCGUCAGUAACAAAUUAAUAAUUACAACUUUCAACAACGGAUCUCUUGGUUCUGGCAUCGAUGAAGAACGCAGCGAAAUGCGAUAAGUAGUGUGAAUUGCAGAAUUCAGUGAAUCAUCGAAUCUUUGAACGCACAUUGCGCCCUUUGGUAUUCCAAAGGGCAUGCCUGUUCGAGCGUCAUUUGUACCCUCAAGCUUUGCUUGGUGUUGGGCGUCUUGUCUCUAGCUUUGCUGGAGACUCGCCUUAAAGUAAUUGGCAGCCGGCCUACUGGUUUCGGAGCGCAGCACAAGUCGCACUCUCUAUCAGCAAAGGUCUAGCAUCCAUUAAGCCUUUUUUUCAACUUUUGACCUCG